GACGAACGCUGGCGGCGUGCUUAACACAUGCAAGUCGAACGUGAUUUUUGUGGAAAGCCCUUCGGGGAUGGAAAUUAAAUGAAAGUGGCGAACGGGUGAGUAACACGUGAGCAACCUACCUUACACAGGGGGGAUAGCCGUUGGAAACGACGAUUAAUACCGCAUGAGACCACUAAGACACAUGUUUUGGAGGUAAAAGAUUUAUCGGUGUAAGAUGGGCUCGCGUCUGAUUAGCUAGUUGGAAGGUAAAGGCCUACCAAGGCAACGAUCAGUAGCCGGUACUGAGAGGAUGAACGGCCACAUUGGAACUGAGACACGGUCCAA
RNAcentral lists this ribosomal RNA (324 nucleotides) under uncultured bacterium. RNAcentral's name for it is "bacterial SSU rRNA". It matches the Rfam family "Bacterial small subunit ribosomal RNA", at positions 28 to 334 of the family's 1533-position model. The record is from RNAcentral.